CCGUGGUAUAUUGACCAUGCGAAGGUAGCAUAAUCAUUUGCCCUCUAAUUAGGGGCUGGAAUGAAGGGUCAGACGAGGAACGAUCUGUCUCUACUUUUAUUUUGAAGUUAAUUUUUUGGUGAAAAAGCUAAAAUUUUCUUGGAGGACGAUAAGACCCUAUAGAUCUUUAUAAGCUUAGGUCCUAUUAGUUGGAUGUUAAUUAAUAGGAUUCCAGCUUAUUUUGUUGGGGCGACGUUGAGAGGAGAUAAAUCCCUCAAUUUGGUUAUACAAAUACAAUUGUUUAAAUGAUCCUUUAGUGAAUCAGGAUUAAGUUACCUUAGGGAUAACAGCGUAAUUCUUCUUGAGAGCUCAAAUCGACAGAAGAGUUUGCGACCUCGAUGUUGGUUCAGGGCCCCUACUAGGUGUA
This 406-nucleotide ribosomal RNA is filed under the name Phallocryptus fahimii. RNAcentral's name for it is "partial large subunit ribosomal RNA". It matches the Rfam family "Archaeal large subunit ribosomal RNA", at positions 2008 to 2626 of the family's 2987-position model. The record is from RNAcentral. Lineage: Eukaryota; Metazoa; Arthropoda; Branchiopoda; Anostraca; Thamnocephalidae.